This 299-nucleotide unclassified non-coding RNA is filed under the name uncultured Pleosporales. Its description in RNAcentral is "sequence contains ITS1". The stretch from base 1 to 104 matches the Rfam family "5.8S ribosomal RNA", at positions 50 to 154 of the family's 154-position model. Lineage: Eukaryota; Fungi; Ascomycota; Dothideomycetes; Pleosporales. The record is from RNAcentral.
GAAAUGCGAAAGGAGGGUGAAUUUCAGAAUUCCGUGAAUCAACGAAUCUUUUAACGCAAAUUGCGCCCCUUGGUAUUCCAUGGGGCAUGCCUGUUCGAGCGUCAUUUGUACCCUCAAGCUUUGCUUGGUGUUGGGCGUCUUGUCCUCUUCUGGAGGACUCGCCUCAAAACAAUUGGCAGCCGGCAUAUUGGUAUCGGAGCGCAGCACAAGUCGCACUUUGUUCCAUGAAUGUUGGCAUCCAUCAAGACCAUUUUUUCACUCUUGACCUCGGAUCAGGUAGGGAUACCCGCUGAACUUAA